RNAcentral lists this ribosomal RNA (501 nucleotides) under uncultured bacterium. RNAcentral describes it as "bacterial SSU rRNA". It matches the Rfam family "Bacterial small subunit ribosomal RNA", at positions 355 to 871 of the family's 1533-position model. The record is from RNAcentral.
UUAGGAAUUUUGCACAAUGGGGGAGACCCUGAUGCAGCAACGCCGCGUGGGCGAUGAAGGUCUUCGGAUCGUAAAGCCCUUUUCUGAGGGAAGAGCAAGGACGGUACCUCAGGAAUAAGCCUCGGCUAACUACGUGCCAGCAGCCGCGGUAAUACGUAGGAGGCAAGCGUUGUCCGGAUUUAUUGGGCGUAAAGAGCGCGUAGGCGGCUCGGCAAGUUGGGUGUGAAAUCCCCUGGCUUAACUGGGGGGGGUCAUCCGAUACUGCUGGGCUUGAGGUCGGCAGAGGAAGGUAGAAUUCCCGGUGUAGUGGUGAAAUGCGUAGAUAUCGGGAGGAAUACCAGUGGCGAAGGCGGCCUUCUGGGCCGAUCCUGACGCUGAGGCGCAAAAGCGUGGGGAGCGAACCGGAUUAGAUACCCGGGUAGUCCACGCAGUAAACGAUGGACACUAGGUGUGGGGGGUAUCGGACCCCUCCGUGCCGAAGCUAACGCAUUAAGUGUCCCG